AUGUUCAGUCUGCUUUUACCGUCGGUUAGUUUGCACGCUGUGACUCGACUCACCGCUUGUGAUUUUAAUUCGACAAAAUGUGUUUAUUCCUUUAUAAAAUGUGGUAGUUAUUUAAUGGUAACCAGAUUCUAUUUUGUUUUGACAAUAUAAUGAGUGAUGUUGUUUCGAAUAUUCCUGAUGAAUGUAACACAAAUUUGGUGUUCUUAAGUGAUCUGUGCGUGUAUGUGGCUUCCCAGUUUGGAACAGCGGUCGAAUAACUUCAAUUUUUAUCACUACUCAUGGAGAUAGAGAUGUUGCAUCAAAAUGCCGUACUUGCCGUACUCUUGCAAUCCCAUGAGCGCUGCAUUGUUACAGCACUCGUUGUGCCUGGCAGUCCGAUAUGCUGUAUACUGGAAAAUUCCGUAACGCGAGUUAUAUCGAAAGUUUUGGGUAUAUAUUAAGAAUUUGAAAUCCGUUCUUGUCAUUGCGGUACAAGUGACUCGUGUUCAGGGCACCCUACAAAGGUAGCGGUAGAAGUGACUCGUGUUCAAAGCACCGUUCAAAGGUAGCGGUAGUGAGUCGUGUUCAUAAAAUAUAAAAUAUAAAUUGUACUAUUCGGAAUGGAAAAAUAACUGGGAUAAAAGGGCUGUACCGCCUCUUGUAUUUUUUUGUUAUGAAUUAUUUUCACUUUUUCCGAUUUUAAUACUUUAUUUUAUAGAGAAUAUUUAAAUUAGUCGCGAUGUUGUGAACAUCAAUAAUUUAAUUAACUGACGUAUACAGUAAUCUUAUACGAACACAAUUAGAAGACAGUAAAUUAUUUAUUUGUAUUGGUAAAUUACAAAUUCCUGUUUUUGCUCAUCCUUAUUGCAUUCCAAAACCAAUAUAUAAAUAAGUAAAAGUAGUUUCGUGUAUGUGUGUUACUUCAAUAUUGUGAAUUUUUACUUUCGUCUUCUCAAGUACGUGUUUACCACUACGUUUGUUUAUAAACAACUUUUUUGUUGGACUGAAGUGUAUUAUCGCGACGUACCUGCCUUGUACCUGGCAACGCGCAGCGCACACGGCAGUCGUUUCACCGCAUGGUCCGCGAGCGCGUCUCACUACUA
Molecule: long non-coding RNA, 1082 nt
Organism: Dalotia coriaria
Lineage: Eukaryota; Metazoa; Arthropoda; Insecta; Coleoptera; Staphylinidae
Exons: 4
Source: RefSeq, a predicted model, not a curated record